UACGGAGGAUGCGAGCGUUAUCCGGAUUUAUUGGGUUUAAAGGGUGCGUAGGCGGCCUGCCAAGUCAGCGGUAAAAUUGCGGGGCUCAACCCCGUACAGCCGUUGAAACUGCCGGGCCCGAGUGGGCGAGAAGUAUGCGGAAUGCGUGGUGUAGCGGUGAAAUGCAUAGAUAUCACGCAGAACCCCGAUUGCGAAGGCAGCAUACCGGCGCCCGACUGACGCUGAGGCACGAAAGUGCGGGGAUCAAACAGG
This 252-nucleotide ribosomal RNA is filed under the name uncultured bacterium. RNAcentral's name for it is "partial 16S ribosomal RNA". It matches the Rfam family "Bacterial small subunit ribosomal RNA", at positions 524 to 776 of the family's 1533-position model. The record is from RNAcentral.